RNAcentral lists this ribosomal RNA (625 nucleotides) under Venturia inaequalis. Its description in RNAcentral is "SSU rRNA". It matches the Rfam family "Bacterial small subunit ribosomal RNA", at positions 366 to 946 of the family's 1533-position model. The record is from RNAcentral. Lineage: Eukaryota; Fungi; Ascomycota; Dothideomycetes; Venturiales; Venturiaceae.
GGUCAAUGGUCUAACGACUGAACCAGCAACUUGGAGGAACACGCAUGGCUACCUUCUAAAGUAAGGUUUUGUCUUCUUGGAACAUGCACUGGAUACUUUAAUGUAUAUAUAGUUCUAGAUAGAUAAAUGAUAAAUGACAACUUUCUAUCUAUGUUGUCUUGACCAAAUCUUGUGCCAGCAGUCGCGGUAAUACAAGGGAGACUAGUGUUAUUCAUCUUUAUUAGGUUUAAAGGGUACCUAGACGGUGUAUCUAGCCUGCGAGGGAACGGAUACGACUAGAGUUUUAUGUGGGAGGUAAAUAUCGUACUAUGUGUGUAGAGAUAAAAUUCUUUGAUAAUACGUAGGACUGGUAAUGGUGAAAGCAAUCCUCUAUGUAAAAACUGACGUUGAGGGACGAAGGCUUGGAUAGCAAACAGGAUUAGAUACCCUAGUAGUCCUUGCAGAAAAUGAUGAAUGCCAUAAGUUAGAUACUAAAAAGGAAGGAUAAGACUUUGUAUUGUGAGACUACCUUCUCUUUUUUUGGCUUAUAAAUGAAAGUGUAAGCAUUCCACCUCAAGAGUAAUGUGGCAACGCAGAAACUGAAAUCAUUAGACCGUUUCUGAAACCAGUAGUGAAGUAUGUUAUU